This 696-nucleotide ribosomal RNA is filed under the name uncultured Bacteroidales bacterium. Its description in RNAcentral is "bacterial SSU rRNA". It matches the Rfam family "Bacterial small subunit ribosomal RNA", at positions 32 to 715 of the family's 1533-position model. The record is from RNAcentral. Lineage: Bacteria; Pseudomonadati; Bacteroidota; Bacteroidia; Bacteroidales.
AACGCUAGCUACAGGCUUAACACAUGCAAGUCGAGGGGAAACGAUAUUGGAAGCUUGCUUCCGAUAGGCGUCGACCGGCGCACGGGUGAGUAACGCGUAUCCAACCUGCCCACCACUUGGGGAUAACCUUGCGAAAGUAAGACUAAUACCCAAUGAUAUCUCUAGAAGGCAUCUGAAGGAGAUUAAAGAUUUAUCGGUGAUGGAUGGGGAUGCGUCUGAUUAGCUUGUUGGCGGGGUAACGGCCCACCAAGGCGACGAUCAGUAGGGGUUCUGAGAGGAAGGUCCCCCACAUUGGAACUGAGACACGGUCCAAACUCCUACGGGAGGCAGCAGUGAGGAAUAUUGGUCAAUGGACGAGAGUCUGAACCAGCCAAGUAGCGUGCAGGAUGACGGCCCUAUGGGUUGUAAACUGCUUUUAUAAGGGAAUAAAGUGAGUCUCGUGAGACUUUUUGCAUGUACCUUAUGAAUAAGGACCGGCUAAUUCCGUGCCAGCAGCCGCGGUAAUACGGAAGGUCCGGGCGUUAUCCGGAUUUAUUGGGUUUAAAGGGAGCGUAGGCCGGAGAUUAAGCGUGUUGUGAAAUGUAGACGCUCAACGUCUGCACUGCAGCGCGAACUGGUUUCCUUGAGUACGCACAAAGUGGGCGGAAUUCGUGGUGUAGCGGUGAAAUGCUUAGAUAUCACGAAGAACUCCGAUUG